ACACGCAUGACACACUGCAUAUCAAAAGCGGAGGAAAAGAAGCUAACAAGGAUUCCCCUAGUAACGGCGAGUGAAGCGGGAAGAGCUCAAAUUUGAAAUCUUAAAGGGUUUCCCUUUACGAAUUGUAGUUUAAAGAAGUGUUUUCUGUAGUGGAGUUCGGUAAAAGUUCUUUGGAAUAGGACAUCAUAGAGGGUGAGAAUCCCGUAUUUGACCGUUACUUUCCUAGCUGUGUGAUACACUUUCAAAGAGUCGGAUUGUUUGGGAAUGCAGUCCAAAAUGGGUGGUAAAUUUCAUCUAAAGCUAAAUAUUGGCGAGAGACCGAUAGCGAACAAGUACCGUGAGGGAAAGAUGAAAAGAACUUUGAAAGGAGAGUUAAACAGUACGUGAAAUUGUCAAAAGGGAAGCGUUUGACACCAGUGUUGUUUAGUUGAAAAUCAAUUCAAUAAUUUUUGAUUUUAAGUAGUAUUGACUUCAUCAGCUUGCUGCUUUCUUUUCAGGAAUUAUUGAAUGCACUUUUCAGUUAACAAGUCAACAUCAAUUUCUUUUGUUGUAAAAGGGUAAGAGGAAGGUGGCUUACGCUUCGGCGUAAGUGUUUAUAGCCUUUUACCUCUGCAAUCGGAGAGAUUGAGGACAGCAGCGUAGACUCCUUCGGGGGUUAGAUACACUUGUGCUAAGCUAUAGCCUUGUAUAGACAACUUGUUGACUAUGCUCAGUCAUGUAGCUUACUCGCUUGUGCUAUUUUACCUACGCUUAGGAUGUUGAGCGCAUGUCUCUCUCU
This 778-nucleotide ribosomal RNA is filed under the name uncultured Neocallimastigales. Its description in RNAcentral is "partial large subunit ribosomal RNA". It matches the Rfam family "Eukaryotic large subunit ribosomal RNA", at positions 23 to 616 of the family's 3401-position model. The record is from RNAcentral. Lineage: Eukaryota; Fungi; Neocallimastigomycota; Neocallimastigomycetes; Neocallimastigales.